UACAAAAUACCAUUGAUGCACAUC
RNAcentral lists this non-coding RNA (24 nucleotides) under Arabidopsis thaliana (thale cress). Lineage: Eukaryota; Viridiplantae; Streptophyta; Magnoliopsida; Brassicales; Brassicaceae. The record is from RNAcentral.